CAGUCGCCGCGGGAAUACGAAGGGUGCAAGCGUUAAUCGGAAUUACUGGGCGUAAAGCGUGCGUAGGCGGUUUGUUAAGUCUGUUGUGAAAUCCCCGGGCUCAACCUGGGAAUGGCAAUGGAUACUGGCUCGCUAGAGUGUGUCAGAGGAUGGUGGAAUUCCCGGUGUAGCGGUGAAAUGCGUAGAGAUCGGGAGGAACAUCAGUGGCGAAGGCGGCCAUCUGGGACAACACUGACGCUGAGGCACGAAAGCGUGGGGAGCAAACAGGAUUAGAUACCCGCGUAGUCCCUGUCUCUUAUAA
Molecule: ribosomal RNA, 301 nt
Filed under: uncultured bacterium
Lineage: Bacteria
Description: partial 16S ribosomal RNA
Rfam family: Bacterial small subunit ribosomal RNA
Source: RNAcentral